CCUACGGGUGGCAGCAGUGGGGAAUAUUGCACAAUGGGGGAAACCCUGAUGCAGCGACGCCGCGUGCGUGAAGAAGUAUCUCGGUAUGUAAAGCUCUAUUAGCAGGGAAGAAAAUGACGGUACCUGACUAAGAAGCUCUGGCUAAAUACGUGCCAGCAGCCGCGGUAAUACGUAGGGGGCAAGCGUUAUCCGGAUUUACUGGGUGUAAAGGGAGCGUAGGCGGCCAGACAAGUCAGAAGUGAAAGCCCAGGGCUCAACCCUGGGACUGCAUUUGAAACUGGCGGGCUGGAGUGCAGGAGAGGUGGGCGGAAUUCGUGGUGUAGCGGUGAAAUGCGUAGAUAUUAGGAAGAACACCGGUGGCGAAGGCAGCUUACUGGACUGUAACUGACGUUGAGGCUCGAAAGCGUGGGGAGCAAACAGGAUUAGAUACCCCUGUAGUC
Molecule: ribosomal RNA, 440 nt
Filed under: uncultured bacterium
Lineage: Bacteria
Description: partial 16S ribosomal RNA
Rfam family: Bacterial small subunit ribosomal RNA
Source: RNAcentral